Molecule: long non-coding RNA, 205 nt
Filed under: Elaeis guineensis (African oil palm)
Lineage: Eukaryota; Viridiplantae; Streptophyta; Magnoliopsida; Arecales; Arecaceae
Description: long non-coding RNA (EGUI_LNC068771)
Source: RNAcentral
AAAGAUUGCCCUGGCCAAAGUCUUACUAAAUUGAAACACAAAGCAUUCUCUCCAAUCCUUUGGAGUGGUUAAUUUCAUCUUGAUUCAUGCACCGACUUCAUAAGUACUUGACUGUACCCAAAAACUUUUUGAUCCUGAAUUAAAAAUUCAGGUAGUCCGGUACCAAAGCACAGUGAGUUGCUUGCAAGUCACCAUGGUGAUCUCA